RNAcentral lists this non-coding RNA (45 nucleotides) under Schistosoma curassoni. Lineage: Eukaryota; Metazoa; Platyhelminthes; Trematoda; Strigeidida; Schistosomatidae. The record is from RNAcentral.
ACCCAGCUGACGAGUCCGGAAUAGGACGAAACGCACGUUCCGGAU